UAAGCAUAUCAAUAAGCGGAGGAAAAGAAACCAACCGGGAUUGCCUCAGUAACGGCGAGUGAAGCGGCAAGAGCUCAAAUUUGAAAUCUGGCCCCCUCGGGGUCCGAGUUGUAAUUUGCAGAGGAUGCUUCGGGAGCGGUCCCCAUCUAAGUGCCCUGGAACGGGCCGUCAUAGAGGGUGAGAAUCCCGUCUGGGAUGGGCGGCCGCGCCCGUGUGAAGCUCCUUCGACGAGUCGAGUUGUUUGGGAAUGCAGCUCUAAGCGGGUGGUAAAUUUCAUCUAAAGCUAAAUACUGGCCGGAGACCGAUAGCGCACAAGUAGAGUGAUCGAAAGAUGAAAAGCACUUUGAAAAGAGAGUUAAACAGCACGUGAAAUUGUUGAAAGGGAAGCGUUGUCCACCAGACUCGCCCGGGGGGGUUCAGCCGGCACGUGUGCCGGUGUACUCCUCUCCGGGCGGGCCAGCAUCGGUUUGGGCGGCUGGUGAAAGGCCCCGGGAAUGUACCACCCUCCGGGGUGUCUUAUAGCCCGGGGUGCCAUACAGCCAGCCUGGACCGAGGCCCGCGCUUCGGCGAGGAUGCUGGCGUAAUGGUGGUCAACGGCCCGUCUUGAAACACGGACCAAGGAGUCUAACAUCUAUGCGAGUGUUCGGGUGUCAAACCCGUCCGCGCAGUGAAAGCGAACGGAGGUGGGAGCCCCUCGGGGCGCACCAUCGACCGAUCCUGAUGUCUUCGGAUGGAUUUGAGUAAGAGCAUAGCUGUUGGGACCCGAAAGAUGGUGAACUAUGCCUGAAUAGGGCGAAGCCAGAGGAAACUCUGGUGGAGGCUCGCAGCGGUUCUGACGUGCAAAUCGAUCGUCAAAUUUGGGUAUAGGGGCGAAAGACUAAUCGAACCAUCUGGUAGCUGGUUCCUGC
Molecule: ribosomal RNA, 908 nt
Filed under: Talaromyces funiculosus
Lineage: Eukaryota; Fungi; Ascomycota; Eurotiomycetes; Eurotiales; Trichocomaceae
Description: LSU rRNA
Rfam family: Eukaryotic large subunit ribosomal RNA
Source: RNAcentral